UUCAAUUAGGCAUGCUCACUCUCUGUCACCCAGGCUGGAGUGCAGUGGUGCAAGAUCAUAACUCAUUGCAGCCUCGAACUCCUGGACUCAGGCAAUCCUCCUGCCUCAGCUUCCUGUGUGCAUGAGUCUUCAAUCACCUGCCCAGAAGAGACAUGUAUCACUUCCGCUCACAUUGCAUUGACUAAAGUAAGUCACAUGACCACACCUAAGUUCCAGGUGGUGAG
This 224-nucleotide long non-coding RNA is filed under the name Homo sapiens (human). RNAcentral describes it as "non-protein coding lnc-MARCH10-1:3". Lineage: Eukaryota; Metazoa; Chordata; Mammalia; Primates; Hominidae. The record is from RNAcentral.